Molecule: small nucleolar RNA, 101 nt
Organism: Grammomys surdaster
Lineage: Eukaryota; Metazoa; Chordata; Mammalia; Rodentia; Muridae
Product: small nucleolar RNA U13
Exons: 1
Source: RefSeq, a predicted model, not a curated record
UUUUUUUUUUGGUUAGUAAGUGUGAUGAUUGGUUAUGCACACAUUGUGGGACAUGUUCCUCCCACAGACCUUGUCACAAUAUUACAAUUACGUGUGAGAAA